GAUGAACGCUGGCGGCGUGCUUAACACAUGCAAGUCGAACGAAGCACUUUAUUUGAUUUCCUUCGGGACUGAUUAUUUUGUGACUGAGUGGCGGACGGGUGAGUAACGCGUGGGUAACCUGCCUUGUACAGGGGGAUAACAGUUGGAAACGGCUGCUAAUACCGCAUAAGCGCACGGCAUCGCAUGAUGCAGUGUGAAAAACUCCGGUGGUAUAAGAUGGACCCGCGUUGGAUUAGCUAGUUGGUGAGGUAACGGCCCACCAAGGCGACGAUCCAUAGCCGACCUGAGAGGGUGACCGGCCACAUUGAGACUGAGACACGGCCCAAACUCCUACGGGAGGCAGCAGUGGGGAAUAUUGCACAAUGGGCGAAAGCCUGAUGCAGCGACGCCGCGUGAGCGAAGAAGUAUUUCGGUAUGUAAAGCUCUAUCAGCAGGGAAGAUAAUGACGGUACCUGACUAAGAAGCACCGGCUAAAUACGUG
RNAcentral lists this ribosomal RNA (481 nucleotides) under uncultured bacterium. Its description in RNAcentral is "partial 16S ribosomal RNA". It matches the Rfam family "Bacterial small subunit ribosomal RNA", at positions 28 to 507 of the family's 1533-position model. The record is from RNAcentral.